UCCCUGUGAUGAAAAGAUUCUGCCAGAUGAUUGCUCUUGAUUAUAACCCUUUACCGUUCCAUUUAUUCUGAGGUU
Molecule: small nucleolar RNA, 75 nt
Filed under: Anabas testudineus (climbing perch)
Lineage: Eukaryota; Metazoa; Chordata; Actinopteri; Anabantiformes; Anabantidae
Description: Small nucleolar RNA SNORD47 (ENSATEG00000006675.2)
Rfam family: Small nucleolar RNA SNORD47
About the family: U47 belongs to the C/D class of snoRNA which contain the C (UGAUGA) and D (CUGA) box motifs. Most of the members of the box C/D family function in directing site-specific 2'-O-methylation of substrate RNAs.
Source: Rfam by way of RNAcentral